CGCGUAGGCGGCCGAUCAAGUCAGGCGUGAAAUUCCCGGGCUCAACCUGGGGGCUGCGCUUGAUACUGAUUGGCUUGAAUGCGGGAGAGGAUAGUGGAAUUCCCAGCGUAGAGGUGAAAUUCGUAGAUAUUGGGAAGAACACCGGUGGCGAAGGCGGCUAUCUGGCCCGUAAUUGACGCUGAGGCGCGAAAGCGUGGGAGCAAACA
RNAcentral lists this ribosomal RNA (206 nucleotides) under uncultured bacterium. Its description in RNAcentral is "partial 16S ribosomal RNA". It matches the Rfam family "Bacterial small subunit ribosomal RNA", at positions 568 to 774 of the family's 1533-position model. The record is from RNAcentral.